AUUGAACGCUGGCGGCAUGCCUUACACAUGCAAGUCGAACGGCAGCACGGGAGCAAUCCUGGUGGCGAGUGGCGAACGGGUGAGUAAUAUAUCGGAACGUGCCCAGUCGUGGGGAUAACGUAGCGAAAGCUACGCUAAUACCGCAUACGAUCUAUGGAUGAAAGCGGGGGAUCGCAAGACCUCGCGCGAUUGGAGCGGCCGAUAUCAGAUUAGGUAGUUGGUGAGGUAAAGGCUCACCAAGCCGACGAUCUGUAGCUGGUCUGAGAGGACGACCAGCCACACUGGGACUGAGACACGGCCCAGACUCCUACGGGAGGCAGCAGUGGGGAAUUUUGGACAAUGGGCGAAAGCCUGAUCCAGCAAUGCCGCGUGAGUGAUGAAGGCCUUAGGGUUGUAAAGCUCUUUUACCCGAGAUGAUAAUGACAGUAUCGGGAGAAUAAGCUCCGGCUAACUCCGUGCCAGCAGCCGACGG
RNAcentral lists this ribosomal RNA (472 nucleotides) under uncultured bacterium. RNAcentral describes it as "bacterial SSU rRNA". It matches the Rfam family "Bacterial small subunit ribosomal RNA", at positions 30 to 520 of the family's 1533-position model. The record is from RNAcentral.